ACCCUUGAGGAUGUAGCUCAGUGGUAGA
Molecule: non-coding RNA, 28 nt
Filed under: Rattus norvegicus (Norway rat)
Lineage: Eukaryota; Metazoa; Chordata; Mammalia; Rodentia; Muridae
Source: RNAcentral